AGCACAUGACUCAAGCUCAGCCAAUCAAAGUACCUCCCCCAAAUUAUUUAAAUCAAAUCUCAGGGGGAAGAACCCCUAAACUCUUGAGAGCUAGAAACACGAGAUCCAGAGCUACCAACAAAAACAGUUUUCAUUUGGGAAAGGUUAGCAAUUCUCCAGUUUUCCUUGGAUUUUGGAAUGACAAAGAACCACAGAAAGGGGCGGUGAACAAGAUCAUACAGCUGGACAUUACAAUGAUCCACCCAGGGAGUAGGGUGUUCUACAGCAUGUCUUCAGAUCAGCCCAAUGAUUAUCUGAGUUCAAUGACUAUCUGAUGCUGGGCCAGAUUCUAUGCUAAGUAAUAGUGCACACAGAGAGAUAGGCAUUACGCCUGCCCUUGGGGUUCAAAGUCUAGGGCUUUGAAUCUCAGAGCUCCAGAGUAAAUCAGAAUAUUCCUUCCAUGGCCAAGAAAGAGAAGAAAGAUAAUUGUUUAAAAAAAAAACCCACUAAAGGGCUGAAGGGGUUUUAACUAAAGAAAGACCAAGAAUAUGCUAGAAACCUCCUGUGUGCCAGGUUCAGAGUGGUACAAAAAAAUGUAAGCAAUGACCAAAAAAGGAUCAUUUCUUAGAAAUUGGGAUUCAUCUGAAGUAGGCACAGGGCCUGCAAGGCAAGAAAUCAGAGGGCUUGCAAAUAGGCGUGUCUAUCUGGCAAUAAGCUUGUUUUCAUCUCAGAAGACAUGGAAGCUCCAGCUAGAUAACACGCGGGCUCCUUGCUUCUUUCAAACAAGCAUUCGCAUAACACUGUAAGAGCUCUGGGAAAGAAAAUUGUCCUCUACAGAGAUCACAGUAUACAUAAGAACAAACUAUUUUGAAUUAAGUGCUGAAAUUGUAAGACCCACGGGGAGACCUGUAUGCAACGAAGCUGAAAGGAAGCUGAAAGGAGUACCUUCCUGCACUGAGGGACCGCCUCCCUGGCCAAGGCCACCCUAGGUCUUGAUGAUUAGCUAGAGGGACUCAGAGAACUCAGAAAAGCCAUUUCUUAGUUUAUUACAACAGAUGGUUAUGUAGUCACAUCAGCAAAGGGAAAAAGUACAGAAGAUGGAAUCCAGGAGAGAUCAAGAAAAUGAUCCGGGACAAGGGACAGUCACCAGACACAAGAGAGGGGAGAAUCAGGCCUCUGGAACCUGAACCAACAGAGCAAUCAGAGAGAGAAAAUGAAACAAAUAGAUAAAAGUGAUUAGGAAGAUACAGAAGGGAUUGGAAGCCAGAAGGAAGGAAUUGAAAGACAGGAAAAUUGCAUGAAUUUUGAAUAAAAUCCAAACCCCAAAAUAAUUACUUUGGAAU
Molecule: long non-coding RNA, 1322 nt
Filed under: Vulpes vulpes (red fox)
Lineage: Eukaryota; Metazoa; Chordata; Mammalia; Carnivora; Canidae
Description: lncRNA (ENSVVUG00000027394.1)
Source: RNAcentral